RNA transcript from Vigna angularis (adzuki bean), 1044 nucleotides. It is a transcript of the gene named protein PEROXIN-4, with no coding region annotated. The transcript is spliced from 7 exons. The record is from RefSeq and is a predicted model, not a curated record. NCBI's taxonomy places the organism in Eukaryota, Viridiplantae, Streptophyta, Magnoliopsida, Fabales, Fabaceae.
UUCCAGACUAUAGUAUUAUUGGUGGGGUCCAUUAUUUUAGGGUUUACUUAUUGCAGAUUUCUAUUUUACUUUUUCAUUCAUUUCCGAUCUACAAAUCUCCCAACCCUAUACAUCAAUUAUUUAUAUUCUUUCUCGCGAAAUCAAAGUCUCGGGAGACCGGCUAAAUUGUGUUUCAAGGUGCGGAAUUCAGUAUGCAGGCAUCGAAGGCAAGGCUGUUCAAGGAGUACCAUGAGGUGCAGCGAGAAAAGACUGCCGAUCCUGAUAUUCAACUAGUCUGUGAUGAAUCUAACAUUUUUAAAUGGACGGCUUUUGUCAAGGGUCCCUCUGAGACUCCUUACGAGGGAGGGGUGUUCCAGCUUUCCUUUUCUGUUUCUGAUCAGUAUCCUCUGCAGCCUCCUCAAGUCCGGUUUUUGACAAAAAUAUUUCAUCCAAAUGUUCACUUUAAGACUGGGGAGAUUUGUCUGGAUAUCUUGAAAAAUGCUUGGAGCCCAGCUUGGACCCUUCAAUCUGUCUGUAGGGCUAUAAUUGCUUUGAUGGCCCAUCCAGAACCUGACAGCCCACUGAAUUGUGAUUCAGAGCACUUUGGUAUUUGCUGGGAAAUUCAAGGAUUUAUUGAGAUAUUGAUGGAAAACUAAAGAACUUCAAAUCCUUAAGGUGUCAGCUCAGUCCAAAACUAUGCCCUGAUGUUUUUUUUUCCAUCUAAUACGUUAACAAAGGCAAUCUUCUGCGUUCAGGCGAUGUUAGAGGCUACCAAUCCAUGGCAAGAAUGUACACAAGACUUGCAGCAAUGCCAAAGAAAGGCUGAAUGAUUUUGUAUAACUUGUUUAACAAGUUAACAAUAGAUACAGCAGUUCUUUGGUAUAAUAUUCAUUUGUUUGAAAUGUAUACAUUUUAAGACACGAUAUUGAUUGUGUUGAUGAUGUGUGUUAAAGUAGUAGUAGUAGUGACUUGUACAGAUUGUAUCCGUUACUCCGUAUAUCUGGAUUCAUGCUGGAAUUGAGCUCAAAUAUAUUCCAAUAAUACCUUAAAUACUUUAGUUUUAAA